AGAAUAAUAAAAAUCUGCCAAAUCAAAAAUAUCAUUGAUGGGAAAAAAUUGUCAUCACGAGAAAUUAAAUGUCCAAGAAAUAUGUGAGCUAUAUUGGACAUGCGUCCUAAGUGUUAGUACUGAUUUUCUUGCAAAAGAAAACUAGCCUUCCUGCAAAUAAGAACGAAGAAAGGUCUGAAACCUGAUAAUGUAGUAUUAUAUUAAACAGUCA
Molecule: unclassified non-coding RNA, 211 nt
Filed under: Hevea brasiliensis (rubber tree)
Lineage: Eukaryota; Viridiplantae; Streptophyta; Magnoliopsida; Malpighiales; Euphorbiaceae
Source: RNAcentral